Medicago truncatula (barrel medic) is the source of this 522-nucleotide long non-coding RNA. RefSeq lists it as uncharacterized. The record is from RefSeq and is a predicted model, not a curated record. NCBI's taxonomy places the organism in Eukaryota, Viridiplantae, Streptophyta, Magnoliopsida, Fabales, Fabaceae. The transcript is spliced from 2 exons.
UUGAAUCUCUAUAUAUUGAAGAUUGCCCUUGUCUUGAGAGCUUGCCGGAGGAGGGUCUUCCCAGAUCCCUUUCUACUUAGUCCAUUCAUGACUGUCCAUUAAUUAAGCAGAAGUACCAAAGGGAGGAAGCAGAGCAUUGGCAUACAAUUAGUCACAUUCCUGAUGUGACAAUUUCCUGAUUGGCGGCUGAGAUGAGAUGUUAUUGUAGCCAGUGUGUGGUGUUUAUGCUCCGAUGGCGUUCCUGACCAGUUACAUGUGACCUGAAACCAUGCUAUUUUGUUGCCAUCCAUUCUCAUUUGUGACCAGAUGAAUGGCACCACCACUCCUCUCACACACGACCAGAAGAAUGCUGCUGUUCCUGACCACUUACAUGUGACCUGAAACCAUUCUAUUUUGUUCCACCGCCACAGAGCUCAGGUAUGGUCUAAUUUUAGACCCUGCAUUUGGAUGUGUACACGCUGCAGUUUGUGGUGCUUGUAAUUCUUUUUUCAUUUAGUUCACCAGAUAAUAUUCUCUUUGUUA